GAGUUUGGACAGAGGGAGUGGCAAGGUUGUGACGGUGGGUUGUAGGUGAAGCGUAGCGGUGGAGAGCGAUGAUGAGGUUUGGAUAAGAGGAUGAAGAAGAUGAACAGUUGGCCAAGAGGAAGAGUUUUUACUUUUUUUAUUCUAUUUUAUAUUUUUUUUAUAGUGAGAGAGGGUGAGGCUGUGAGUGAACGUGAGUGAGUCAGAGAAGAUUUUUUUCUUUUUCCUAUUUG
This 230-nucleotide long non-coding RNA is filed under the name Lathyrus oleraceus (garden pea). Its description in RNAcentral is "Pisum sativum (pea) long non-coding RNA (PSAT_LNC004781)". Lineage: Eukaryota; Viridiplantae; Streptophyta; Magnoliopsida; Fabales; Fabaceae. The record is from RNAcentral.